CUUGGUAAAUCCGGUUGCUUAUCAACGCUGAGGUGUGAUGACGAGCCACUACGGUGGUGAAGUAGUUGAUGCCAAGCUUCCAGGAAAAGCCUCUAAGCAUCAGGUAACAUUAAAUCGUACCCCAAACCGACACAGGUGGUCAGGUAGAGAAUACUCAGGCGCUUGAGAGAACUCGGGUGAAGGAACUAGGCAAAAUGGUGCCGUAACUUCGGGAGAAGGCACGCUGGCAUUAGGUAAAGAGACUUGCUCUCGGAGCUGAAGCCAGUCGCAGAUACCAGCUGGCUGCAACUGUUUAAUAAAAACACAGCACUGUGCAAACACGAAAGUGGACGUAUACGGUGUGACGCCUGCCCGGUGCUGGAAGGUUAAUUGAUGGGGUCAGCCGCAAGGCGAAGCUCUUGAUCGAAGCCCCAGUAAACGGCGGCCGUAACUAUAACGGUCCUAAGGUAGCGAAAUUCCUUGUCGGGUAAGUUCCGACCUGCACGAAUGGCGUAAUGAUGGCCAGGCUGUCUCCACCCGAGACUCAGUGAAAUUGAACUCGCUGUGAAGAUGCAGUGUACCCGCGGCAAGACGGAAAGACCCCGUGAACCUUUACUAUAGCUUGACACUGAACAUUGAGCCUUGAUGUGUAGGAUAGGUGGGAGGCAUUGAAGUGUGGACGCCAGUCUGCAUGGAGCCAACCUUGAAAUACCACCCUUUAAUGU
Molecule: ribosomal RNA, 704 nt
Filed under: Yersinia enterocolitica
Lineage: Bacteria; Pseudomonadati; Pseudomonadota; Gammaproteobacteria; Enterobacterales; Yersiniaceae
Description: partial 23S ribosomal RNA
Rfam family: Bacterial large subunit ribosomal RNA
Source: RNAcentral